GUAGGUGGCAAGCGUUGUCCGGAAUUAUUGGGCGUAAAGCGCGCGCAGGUGGUUCUUUAAGUCUGAUGUGAAAGCCCCCGGCUCAACCGGGGAGGGUCAUUGGAAACUGGGGAACUUGAGUGCAGGAGAGGAAAGUGGAAUUCCACGUGUAGCGGUGAAAUGCGUAGAUAUGUGGAGGAACACCAGUGGCGAAGGCGACUUUCUGGCCUGUAACUGACACUGAGGCGCGAAAGCGUGGGGAGCAAACAGGAUUAGAUACCCUGGUAGUCCACGCCGUAAGCGAUGAGUGCUAAGUGUUGGGGGGGUUUCCCGCCCCGUCAGUGCUGCAGCUAACGCAUUAAGCACUCCGCCUGGGGAGUACGGUCGCAAGACUG
RNAcentral lists this ribosomal RNA (374 nucleotides) under uncultured organism. Its description in RNAcentral is "partial 16S ribosomal RNA". It matches the Rfam family "Bacterial small subunit ribosomal RNA", at positions 527 to 896 of the family's 1533-position model. The record is from RNAcentral.